Long non-coding RNA from Perca flavescens (yellow perch), 637 nucleotides. RefSeq lists it as uncharacterized. The record is from RefSeq and is a predicted model, not a curated record. The transcript has 2 exons. Lineage: Eukaryota; Metazoa; Chordata; Actinopteri; Perciformes; Percidae.
ACUGACUUUGAUGAAUUUACUGUUUACCAGAACCCAGAUGAGACAAGAAGCUAAUGUUAGCUAACGCUGCUGUGACGUCCCAUCUGCCUCUGACUCCCGUUGCAGGAGAACGCUGUAUUCCUCCGACACGCUGUAUUAAGGUUACUGUUUUAAAACCGUUUUCCAGAUAGUGAUAUCUCCACAGUGGCCAAAUGGAUUGGAUCCAUCUCUAUUCAUUCUUUUGCCAUUUGAACUGCGAAGACAGACCUUACAAAUCUCUUACAACGUGGACCCUGGGAACAUAGGGAUGACCCCGGUCCAACACUGAUAUUGGGUGUUGAGGUCUGGCCGGAAGUUGGUGCUCCAGUUUAUCCCCCAAAGAUUUUGGGUGGGGUUAAGUUCAAGUUCUUCCACACCAAACUGGGAAAAUCUUUUCUUUAUGAAUGUUAUAGCAUUAAGCUUUCUAUUGAUUGGAACUAAGAGGCCUAGCCCAAACCAUGAACCAUGAAAAAAGACUAAGUGCACAAAGUUGUGUAUUGGGGCUUCCACAUACCUUUCGCCAUAUUAACUGUCCCUCUUUUUUGUUUUGUAAGUGUUUCCAAAUGGAGAGCAUGUGAAUAAUGUUAUCAUUAAAGAUAAUUAAAGUCAAAUUCUCAGA